GACGAACGCUGGCGGCGUGGAUUAGGCAUGCAAGUCGAACGGUAUCAUCCUUUCGGGGGUGAGAGAGUGGCGAACUGGUGAGUAACACGUAGGUUAUCUACCCUCAAGACGGGGACAACCCAGGGAAACUUGGGCUAAUACCGGAUGUGAGCAACUUUUAGUUGUUUGAAAGGUGGCGUAAGCUGUCGCUUGGGGAUGAGCCUGCGUCCUAUUAGUUAGUUGGUGAGGUAACGGCUCACCUAGGCAAUGAUAGGUAGGCGGCCUUAACGGGUGGUCGCCCACACUGGGAUUGAGAUACGGCCCAGACUCCUACGGGAGGCAGCAGUCGAGAAUAGUCUACAAUGGUCGGAAGACUGAUAGUGCGACGCCGCGUGAACGAUGAAUCCCUUCGGGGUGUAAAGUUCUUUUAUAUGUGAGCAGUGCUUCUUAUAUUAACAGUAUGGGGAGAGAGAUAUUAGCAUAUGAAUAAGCAACGGCUAAACUCCGUGCCCAGCAGCCGCGGUAAAAUAC
This 510-nucleotide ribosomal RNA is filed under the name uncultured bacterium. RNAcentral's name for it is "bacterial SSU rRNA". It matches the Rfam family "Bacterial small subunit ribosomal RNA", at positions 28 to 526 of the family's 1533-position model. The record is from RNAcentral.